CUACGGGCGGCACCAGUGGGGAAUAUUGCACAAUGGGCGAAAGCCUGAUGCAGCAACGCCGCGUGAGGGACGACGGCCUUCGGGUUGUAAACCUCUUUUAGCAGGGAAGAAGCGAAAGUGACGGUACCUGCAGAAAAAGCACCGGCUAACUACGUGCCAGCAGCCGGGGUAAUACGUAGGGUGCAAGCGUUGUCCGGAAUUAUUGGGCGUAAAGAGCUCGUAGGCGGUUUGUCGCGUCUGCUGUGAAAAUCCGAGGCUCAACCUCGGACCUGCAGUGGGUACGGGCAAACUAGAGUGCGGUAGGGGAGAGUGGAAUUCCUGGUGUAGCGGUGGAAUGCGCAGAUAUCAGGAGGAACACCAAUGGCGAAGGCAGAUCUCUGGGCCGUAACUGACGCUGAGGAGCGAAAGCGUGGGGAGCGAACAGGAUUAGAUACCCGCGUAGUC
This 444-nucleotide ribosomal RNA is filed under the name uncultured bacterium. RNAcentral describes it as "partial 16S ribosomal RNA". It matches the Rfam family "Bacterial small subunit ribosomal RNA", at positions 339 to 795 of the family's 1533-position model. The record is from RNAcentral.